AAUGAACGCUGGCGGUAUGCCUAACACAUGCAAGUCGAACGACAACACAAUAAGAUCUUUCUCUUACGGUUGGCGAGUGGCGGGCGGGUGACGAAUACAUCGGAAUCUACUUUUUCUUGGGUGAUAACGUAAGAACAGUUACGCUAAUACCGCAUACUUCCUACGGCUUGAAUCGGUGGUUCUUCAUGCCUUUCGCGAUUGUAUUAGCCGAUGUCGGAUUAGCUAGUUGGCUGGGUAAGGUCCCACCAAGGCGACGAUACGUAGCUGAGCUGAGAGGGUGAUCAGCCACACUGGAACUGAGACACGGUCCAGACUCCUACGGGAGGCAGCAGUGGGGAAUAUUGGACAAUGGGCGAAAGCCUGAUCCAGCCAUGCCGCGUGGGUGAAGAAGGCCUUCGGGUUGUAAAGCCCUUUUGUUGGGAAAGAACAGCAGUAGGUUAAUACGUCGAUGUUCUGACGGUACCUAAAGAAUAAGCAACGGCUAACUACGUG
This 492-nucleotide ribosomal RNA is filed under the name uncultured bacterium. RNAcentral's name for it is "partial 16S ribosomal RNA". It matches the Rfam family "Bacterial small subunit ribosomal RNA", at positions 29 to 507 of the family's 1533-position model. The record is from RNAcentral.